AUACGUAGGUGACAAGCGUUAUCCGGAUUUACUGGGCGUAAAGGGCGUGUAGGCGGUCUUGCAAGUCAGAAGUGAAAUUCCUGAGCUCAACUCGGGCGCUGCUUCUGAAACUGCAGGACUUGAGUGCUGGAGGGGAUAGCGGAAUUCCUAGUGGAGCGGUAAAAUGCGCAGAUAUUAGGAAGAACACCGGUGGCGAAGGCGGCUUUCUGGACAGUAACUGACGCUGAGGCGCGAAAGUGUGGGAAGCAAACAGGAUUAGAUACCCUGGUAGUCCACACUGUAAACGAUGAAUACUAGGUGUAAGAGGGAUCGAGCCCUUUUGUGCCGGAGUUAACACAAUAAGCGUUCCGCCUGGGGAGUACGGCCGCAAGGUUGAAACUCAAAUGAAUUGACGGGG
This 397-nucleotide ribosomal RNA is filed under the name uncultured bacterium. Its description in RNAcentral is "partial 16S ribosomal RNA". It matches the Rfam family "Bacterial small subunit ribosomal RNA", at positions 523 to 918 of the family's 1533-position model. The record is from RNAcentral.